RNA transcript from Corvus hawaiiensis (hawaiian crow), 1460 nucleotides. It is a transcript of the gene named probable 2-ketogluconate reductase, with no coding region annotated. The record is from RefSeq and is a predicted model, not a curated record. Lineage: Eukaryota; Metazoa; Chordata; Aves; Passeriformes; Corvidae. The transcript is spliced from 7 exons.
GGUGGGCGGGACACGGGGGCUCCCGCGGUCUUGCGCGCCCCGCUCGGGCUGGGAGCGGGAGGCAUCUCGCCCGUUCCCAGCCGCCCUUCAGGGCCGGACAGAGUCCUGCGGCCGCCGCUCCAGCUCCCUCCUAUCUCUAGUCCCAGGCGUAGGCCGGCUGGCACAGCGGCAAACGCCUCCAGCCAGGGCUCAGCCCGCCCUGGGCAGGGAGGACUCCCCGGGACACCGCGCUCCGGGGGCGGUCGGGGGAGAGAAGGGGGAGCCGGGCCGGCGGUGCGGGAGCGGUGCGGGAGCAUUGCCUCGGGCUGAGCGACGGCUCUAACCCGAGAUCACAGCCUUGGCUCUGCAGUGUCAGCAGAGUGAAGAGUUGGCAAAGCACUGAAGGAGACCAAAGAAAGGGAUAUGGAGGGUCAGGAACUGCCUUAUGUGCUAGUUGACUGUAUAGGAGAGAGGUAUGGAGUAUAUGAAGACCAUGUUGGAUUUCUGAAGAAACGUUUUCAUCUCAUCACCAUGAAAGAAUAUCUUGAAAACAAGACAUUUCUCAGCAAAAAGAUCAGAGCUAUCUAUAUGUGGUAUCACAAACCAGCUAUUGAUGAAGAGCUUCUCCAGAGCUUGCCUAACUUGAAGGUAGUUGCAAGUUCUGGAGUGGGAAUAGAUCACUUGGACCUGAAACUCCUCUCCAGCUAUGGUGUGAAGGUGGCCAAUACUCCGUUUAUUGUUUCCACUGACACUGCAGACUUAGGGAUGGCUUUGAUGCUGGCAUCUUCCAGGAGACUUGUGGAAGGCCAUGAGAUGGCAGUCUCCCCCGACACAGAGUAUUUCCCUGCUGACUGGCUGGGGGUUGAGGUUUCUGGAGCGACCCUGGGGAUCGUGGGAAUGGGCACCAUUGGUUACAAAGUGGCUGAAAGAGCCAAAGCCUUUGAAAUGAAGAUUUUGUACCACAACAGAAAUCAGAGAAAAAAGGAAGAAGAAAGUGCCAUUGGAGCUGUUUACUGUAAGAAGAUAGAUGAUUUGCUCCAGCAGUCAGAUUUCGUGUUGCUGGCUGUGAACCUAACUCCACAGACACGCAAACUGAUUGGGAAGAGGGAGCUGGAGCUGAUGAAACCCACUGCUAUUCUUAUUAAUAUCAGCAGAGGUCUGGUAGUGGAUCAGGAUGCUUUGGUGGAAGCCCUUCAAAACAAAGUUAUUAGGGCAGCCGCUCUGGAUGUGACAUAUCCUGAACCCUUGCCAAGGGAUCACCCCUUUUUAAAACUGAAGAAUGUUAUCAUAACUCCUCACAUCGGAAGUGCUACCAAGAAGACACGCUGGGUUAUGAUGGAGGAAAUGGCAGAAAGCAUAGAGGCGGGCUUGGCGGGUCUUCCUAUCCCUCGUGAGGUGCUGCUCUAGAGCACCUUGCACUUAGGACUAAUGCCUGUUAUAAAUGUAUUGUGAUGUUGGCUUUUUUUUCAUUUUAAAUAAUU